CCCAACAAAGGGUGGAGUGCCAUCUCCGGUGGGGAUUGAAUACCUCCCCACCUGACCGCGGGUGCCACAGCCCCCGGUCUCGCCUGUCCCUUUUAGUCGCCUCUUACGACAAGCAGGGAUUACUGUGUGCGUAUUCUGUUCCCCGACCCACAGGGAAAACCGUAACCGUACCGUAAAGUGUGCUUAUGGAAAUGGAGAUUUCCAGACAAAGCAGGUCAACUAUUCCUUAACUAUGAAUAGUCAUAGUUCUGUGGGAAGAAUGUCAAGUCGACCAAUUUAUUGUCUAUGUCGGACACCUUCUGAUCGAGCGACAAUAAUUUCUGACCGAGAGUCUCGGGUGAUGGAUCUCUUCGAGCAUGGUGAAUCGCUUGAUCCGUCGGCGUCGGGGAUGUUUCGUCCAACGAAUGCGACUGGGAAUCUGUGCAAAGCAAAGAAAAGGAACAAAGGAAAGGUAACGAGUAGCAAUUUUCGAGUAACGCAACCAACCGAUCGCGCUUACCUUGCGAACAAAUGUGUCUGUUCGUUUGACUUUGAUCGGCGGUAUCGUCGUUGUCGCUGAGAGCUUCCUCCGGACAAUACGGUUCGGCACCGCUAUCUUU
Molecule: long non-coding RNA, 599 nt
Organism: Hylaeus volcanicus
Lineage: Eukaryota; Metazoa; Arthropoda; Insecta; Hymenoptera; Colletidae
Exons: 3
Source: RefSeq, a predicted model, not a curated record